UGCUUCGGAAUCCUCCUUUAGCACAAGUGGACGAAUAAUUGAUCCAUAUCGUAGUUCUUUGAGUCCAAAAAUGGUAGAGGCUUUGAUAUGUACACAAAAUUGGCUUAGGUCAAUUCAUGUAGCAUUACAUCAUGAGCCAACCAUUGAGGAGAUUGAGUUUUGUGAAGAAGUUGAGAAAGAAAUGGCAAGGGAAAGCUCAAAGAAAUGUGCUAUGUUGCCUCCUAGGCCGCCUAUGCGUUGAGCUUGAAGACUUGGAAGAUUUUAUUUGUACAAGACAUGAAGUGAUGAAACCUUGAAGGUUUAUUUGACUUGUGUGAUGUUUAAAUUUGGACUUUUUGAAGACUUAAACUUUGAUGUUUAAUUUGGACUUUUUGAAGACUUAAACUUGAUUGAUGAUUGAUUCUAUUUCUAGUUGGACUUUAAAUGUUUAUUUUCAUUUUUUGAA
Molecule: non-coding RNA, 445 nt
Organism: Malus domestica (apple)
Lineage: Eukaryota; Viridiplantae; Streptophyta; Magnoliopsida; Rosales; Rosaceae
Source: RefSeq, a predicted model, not a curated record